Molecule: ribosomal RNA, 808 nt
Rfam family: Bacterial small subunit ribosomal RNA
UGGGUGGAUUAGUGGCGAACGGGUGAGUAACACGUGAGUAACCUGCCCUUAACUCUGGGAUAAGCCUGGGAAACUGGGUCUAAUACCGGAUAGGAGCGUCCACCGCAUGGUGGGUGUUGGAAAGAUUUAUCGGUUUUGGAUGGACUCGCGGCCUAUCAGCUUGUUGGUGAGGUAAUGGCUCACCAAGGCGACGACGGGUAGCCGGCCUGAGAGGGUGACCGGCCACACUGGGACUGAGACACGGCCCAGACUCCUACGGGAGGCAGCAGUGGGGAAUAUUGCACAAUGGGCGCAAGCCUGAUGCAGCGACGCCGCGUGAGGGAUGACGGCCUUCGGGUUGUAAACCUCUUUCAGUAGGGAAGAAGCGAAAGUGACGGUACCUGCAGAAGAAGCACCGGCUAACUACGUGCCAGCAGCCGCGGUAAUACGUAGGGUGCGAGCGUUAUCCGGAAUUAUUGGGCGUAAAGAGCUCGUAGGCGGUUUGUCGCGUCUGUCGUGAAAGUCCGGGGCUUAACCCCGGAUCUGCGGUGGGUACGGGCAGACUAGAGUGCAGUAGGGGAGACUGGAAUUCCUGGUGUAGCGGUGGAAUGCGCAGAUAUCAGGAGGAACACCGAUGGCGAAGGCAGGUCUCUGGGCUGUAACUGACGCUGAGGAGCGAAACAUGGGGAGCGAACAGGAUUAGAUACCCUGGUAGUCCAUGCCGUAAACGUUGGGCACUANGUGUGGGGACCAUUCCACGGUUUCCGCGCCGCAGCUAACGCAUUAAGUGCCCCGCCUGGGGAGUACGGCCGCAAGGCUAAAACUCAAA